Molecule: long non-coding RNA, 943 nt
Organism: Pocillopora damicornis (cauliflower coral)
Lineage: Eukaryota; Metazoa; Cnidaria; Anthozoa; Scleractinia; Pocilloporidae
Source: RefSeq, a predicted model, not a curated record
CCGCUUCAGUAAUCUAUGCGGAAAGAUUAGCUUAAAACCGGCUUGUAUGUACCAUUUUUUAUUACUUUGUUUCACACAAGACGUUUAAAGGCUUCUCCUUGGAUCUCAAAUUAACGGAGAGUAACAUGGGAUUCUGGUCGCUCAUUUUCCUUAACGUUACUUUAAUUUUGAUGACUACCACUGGAGAAUUGUUAGGAAAAGAAAGCGAAAAGCCAUGGGAUUGGGCUCAAAGGCGUGCGCUUGAACUCAAGGACCUCAGUGAACGCAGACCGUGUAUCUCGUGGCAAUGCAGGAGAAACAUGUUACUACAAAAAAAUACCUUUCUAAACUUCCUCAGAGGUGGCGGGUCCACAGAUAAGAAAUCCAGUGUAUACGGUGCAAAGGAAGAAGAGCCUUGCAUUAGUUGGGAAUGUAGACGAAAACGACGGGCAGUCAAUGGUGUCCCACCACAGGAUGGACCCAAACCAGGACCAGAAGACAUCCCGUGCCUCACAAGAGACUGCCGAACUGGAAAGAGAAGCACUGUCGAAGAUUCUGGUCCGAUGAGAAAACUCCGCAUCGCUCGCUCAGUUCCUGCCGAACCCCAAAACCAACCAGGCUGUCUCUCUUGGUUCUGUCAGAAUGGGAAACGACAGGCGGAAUAAAUUCCAAUAGAUUUGAAGUCAACACAGCUGGCCACCUUGAGAAUCUCCCCCAAGUACUCUAGUAAAAUAGAAUCGCUUAUUAUGAAUUAAUCACUUAUAGCUAGUAAAAAAAAUUAGGAGGAACCAAACACACGUGAGAGAGACGCUGUCAAUCUGUUAUUUUAUCCUAACUGAAAAAAGCAGGCUAAUGACUUGUGUGUUUUUAUCUUUACUUUAUAUUAUCAUAGAGGAAAUUGCUCAAAACGUUUUUAGCUUAUUGUGCACUUAUGAUAAAUAAAAUUUAAGCAUUAUGAUGAUCA